Molecule: ribosomal RNA, 449 nt
Filed under: uncultured bacterium
Lineage: Bacteria
Description: partial 16S ribosomal RNA
Rfam family: Bacterial small subunit ribosomal RNA
Source: RNAcentral
AACGAACGCUGGCGGCAUGCCUAACACAUGCAAGUCGAACGAGAUCUUCGGGUCUAGUGGCGCACGGGUGCGUAACGCGUGGGAAUCUGCCCUUUGGUUCGGAAUAACAGUUGGAAACGACUGCUAAUACCGGAUGAUGACGAAAGUCCAAAGAUUUAUCGCCAGAGGAUGAGCCCGCGUAGGAUUAGCUAGUUGGUGUGGUAAAGGCGCACCAAGGCGACGUUCCUUAGCUGGUCGGAGAGGAUGAUCAGCCACACUGGGACUGAGAAACGGCCCAGACUCCUACGGGAGGCAGCAGGGGGGAAUAUUGGAAAAUGGGCGGAAGCCUGAUCCAGCAAUGCCGCGUGGGUGAUGAAGGCCUUAGGGUUGUAAAGCUCUUUUACCCGGGAUGAUAAUGACAGUACCGGGAGAAUAAGCUCCGGCUGACUCCGUGCCAGCCGCCGCCGUAA